This 88-nucleotide transfer RNA is filed under the name Thermochaetoides thermophila DSM 1495. RNAcentral's name for it is "Chaetomium thermophilum var. thermophilum DSM 1495 tRNA". It matches the Rfam family "tRNA". From Rfam's summary of the family: Transfer RNA (tRNA) molecules are approximately 80 nucleotides in length. Their secondary structure includes four short double-helical elements and three loops (D, anti-codon, and T loops). Further hydrogen bonds mediate the characteristic L-shaped molecular structure. tRNAs have two regions of fundamental functional importance: the anti-codon, which is responsible for specific mRNA codon recognition, and the 3' end, to which the tRNAs corresponding amino acid is attached (by aminoacyl-tRNA synthetases). tRNAs cope with the degeneracy of the genetic code in two manners: having more than one tRNA (with a specific anti-codon) for a particular amino acid; and 'wobble' base-pairing, i.e. permitting non-standard base-pairing at the 3rd anti-codon position. The record is from Rfam by way of RNAcentral. Lineage: Eukaryota; Fungi; Ascomycota; Sordariomycetes; Sordariales; Chaetomiaceae.
GCCCGGUUAGCUCAAUCGGUAGAGCGUGAGACUCUUAAGGAAUCUCCGUCCAAUCUCAAGGUUGCGGGUUCGACCCCCGCAUCGGGCU